Long non-coding RNA from Gossypium arboreum, 3147 nucleotides. RefSeq lists it as uncharacterized. Lineage: Eukaryota; Viridiplantae; Streptophyta; Magnoliopsida; Malvales; Malvaceae. The transcript is spliced from 3 exons. The record is from RefSeq and is a predicted model, not a curated record.
CAUAAUUUAGAUCCAAUACUGCACUAAUCUCAUAACACAAAUCCUUUGGCUAAUAAACAAAGAAAACCCAGUUGUGUUAGAGUUUAUGCUUUCCAAAUGGUUGAAUCUUCCAGGCAGAUAAACUUCCAUUUCUGUCUGAAAGUUUCUCCUUAUUUUAGUUCAACCUUGAUUUCUAUUUUGUUUCUUUUUCUUCUUCUUUUUUUUUUAAGUUCCCUUUCUUCAAGUUCCUUUCUUUUUGUAUUAAGUUCUACUUACUUUUGCUCAAAAAAAAGAAAAAAAAAACCCAACCUUCAAAUCCCUUUUGAUUAAUUUGAAGUAGUAAGAAUCUUCUCAAGACUAAGUGUAGUUUGAUUAAUUCUGAAGUUCCCAAUUGAGGUAAAUCUAUUUACAUUUGUGUUUAUAGGGUUUAGGGUUAAUUUCGAGGAAUGAAAAUUUGAACUCACUUUGUAUAAACUAUGAAAUUUUGAUCUUAUUUAUUGUUAAUUUCGAGGAAUGGAAAUUUUAACAUUUCUAAAAACAAAUGAAAAUUAAGAAAAAAUAUAUCAUACAAAUAAUUGAAACACCUCUUCAAAUAAUUACCAAAUCCACUAAAGCAAUCACCAAAACUUCAAGGAAAAUGUGAGAGCAUAGAUUUGUUCUUUUGUACCAUAUAAUCCUAAUAACUCUCAUUCUAAAUUGAUGGAUUAACUUUAAAUCAUUUUAUUAUAUUUUUAAAUCAACGAGGUUAUAUCAAUUAAGUUUUUCUUACUAAAAUUAUUAAUUUAAUGGUAAAUUUUUUUCCAAUUUCUCUCAAAUUUGAAUUUGAGUAAAUUAGUCUCAUUAGAAAAAAUUGGAGUAACUUAAUCCCUUUACAAUUUUGAAUUUGAACAAAUUAGUCUAUCUCAAAAAAGAAAUUGGAGCAACUUAAUCAUUAUCAAUUUUGAAAGUGAGUAACUAAGGACAAUUAAUCUCACUGUUAAUAUUUUUCAUCAAUUAUGCAUAAUUUUGAUUGGUAUAAUAACAAAUUUAGCAAUUGGUGUUUACAUAUUUUGUUAGUUUGGUCUUGAUUGUAAAAAGACCAACAAAUUCAGUCUCAACAUUUACACAUUUACAAAUAUAGGGGUUAAAUUUGUUAAAUCAUAAUUAAAUUGAUAGAAUGCUUUAGUUCCUCACUUUCUAAAUUGAUUCAAUUUUUAAGAGAGACCAAUUUGCUCGAUAUCAAAAUUGAUAGGGACUAGAGAGGUCAUCUUACCCAGUUUAAUCAUUAAAUGAUAUGUUACAUCUAAUAUGACAUAAUUUAAAAUGAAAAUUAAAAGAAUGAAUUUUGUAAAAGUAGAUGUUUUAAAACCUUAGUUUUCAAGUUUUGAAAUUUUUACAGAAGCAUUAUCAUUCAUUUUUUUAAAAGUUUAGUUUUACUUAAUUUUUUAAUGUUAAAAGUUAAAUAACGUUUAACUACAUAAGAUCUAAUGCGUCAUUUAAAGAUUGAAAUAACAAAAAUGACCUGAAUGAUAUAAUAUCGAUAAUUUAGAUCCCAACUUUAACAAUGCCUUGUUAAAAGUUAAGUAACAAGCCUUGUUGGUCUUUUUUGCAAACCAAUCAGUACCAACUUCAACAAUUUAGAUCCCAAUAUUGCAGUAAUUUCAGAACACGAAUCCUUCGGCUACAAGAAAACUCAGUUUUUAGUGGCGGAGCAUUGUAGAAAUUCAGGGGUCAUACUGAAAUAGUAAAAUUUUCCGAGCAGUUGAAUUUUCCAGGCAGAUAAACUUCAAUUUCUACUUGUUUAUUUUUCCCCCUUUCUUCGAGUUCCUUUCUUUUUGUAUUCAGUUUUACUUACUUUUGCUAUAUAAAAAAAAAACCAACCUUCAAAUCCCUUAUGAUUGUUUUGAAGUAAGAAUCUUCUGAGCACUAAGUGUAUUUUGAUUUUAAAAGUUCCCAAGUGAGGUAAAUCUAUUUAUAUAUGCUUCAUUUCUGUUUUUUAUAUAUAAAUUGUUCUCAUCUUUUUAUAUUUUUGUUCAAGCAAGUAAGAGCUAAAAGACUGUUUGGAUUUUGAAAUGCUGGACUGAGUUGAAAAACAGCACAUUUUGUGUUGUGCUUUCAGUUAGAAUGAGUUGAAAGAACAGCCCAUUGAUUCUCAUAGUUUGAGUUGUCUUUCACCUUCCUUGUGUUUGAACUUGGAACAUCAUCAUAUUCUUCAAUUUGAGCUUGUCAAGCAUGGGUUGCGAAUUUUGUGGGGCUGCUCUUCCUAACAUCUUUGCAACACUAGUUGUGGAUUGUGUGGUGAAGCCGCUAGUACGUUAAUUUGAUUAUGUCCGUCACUUUCAUGACAAUGUUGAAAAGCUCCGAGAGAAAAAGCAUGAACUUGCAGAUGCACGAGCUCGUCUACUACAUAAGAUUGAGGAUGCUAAAAGCCAGCUUCUACAAAUUGAAAAUGAUGUACAAAACUUGCAAUCAAGGGCAGAUGAAACACUGUCGAAUAUGGGAACUCUGGAAGAGGAAAUCCAACUGAAUAAGAGGUGUCUCAAUUGGUGUCCUAAUUGUAGUUGGAGAUAUCAAUUAAGCAAGAAAGCAAUAAAGAAAAUCCAGGAUAUCUCUGAGCUUUUGAACAAAUUUGGUCAACUUGGACCAGUCAGUUACCGUGCUUCUCUGCCCUUCCCACUGUAGGCUUCCUGUGUUCUAAGGAAUUUGUGGUUUCGAAAUCUUCGAAGGUUGCUUUCGAUCAAAUCAUUGAAGCCUUAAAAGAUGAGAAUAUCGACAUGAUUGGGUUGUGGGGGAUGGGAAGGUGUUGAAGCUGAUCUCCAUGCAGCUGGUAUGAAGAAUGUGUAGCUGGAAUUUGGCCAUGCAAGCUCGUGACAAGCAUGCAGCAACUUUGGUUUCUUGUUGCUGUUGGACUUGAACUAAUGUUUUGUUAUUUUGUAAUCUAGUUUGUAUCUUCAACUUAGUUGGUAAUUUUUUGAUGUAAUCCAUUGAUUGAUUGAUUGAUUGAAAUUUCAGCAAUACAACUUGGACGAUAAACUUAGCUAUUUUCAAUGUAAUAGAGUGGGGUUAGGUAUGUAAUUUGGUAGUCUUUUUGACUUGUACACUUCAUCUUUAGUUUUUCAUAUGUAAUGGCAAUAUGCUGAUGAUGUAUUAUGUAAUUACACAUCUUUUUCAUCAAGUUUUCUCAACUAA